UACGAGAGCCUCGAGCGUUAUCCGGAAUUAUUGGGCGUAAAGGGUGCGUAGGUUGUUCUGUUAGUCUUUUGUUAAAUCCCGGGGCUUAACUUCGGAAUCGCAAAAGAAACGGCAGGACUUGAAAGUGUGAGAGGCGUACGGAACUCAUGGUGUAGGGGUGAAAUCCGUUGAUAUCAUGGGGAACACCAAAUGCGAAGGCAGUACGCUGGCGCAUAUUUGACACUGAAGCACGAAAGCGUGGGUAGCGAAUGGG
RNAcentral lists this ribosomal RNA (253 nucleotides) under uncultured bacterium. RNAcentral describes it as "partial 16S ribosomal RNA". It matches the Rfam family "Bacterial small subunit ribosomal RNA", at positions 524 to 776 of the family's 1533-position model. The record is from RNAcentral.